AUUGAACGCUGGCGGCAGGCCUAACACAUGCAAGUCGAACGGUAACAGGAAGAAGCUUGCUUCUUUGCUGACGAGUGGCGGACGGGUGAGUAAUGUCUGGGAAACUGCCUGAUGGAGGGGGAUAACUACUGGAAACGGUAGCUAAUACCGCAUAACGUCGCAAGACCAAAGAGGGGGACCUUCGGGCCUCUUGCCAUCGGAUGUGCCCAGAUGGGAUUAGCUAGUAGGUGGGGUAACGGCUCACCUAGGCGACGAUCCCUAGCUGGUCUGAGAGGAUGACCAGCCACACUGGAACUGAGACACGGUCCAGACUCCUACGGGAGGCAGCAGUGGGGAAUAUUGCACAAAGGGCGCAAGCCUGAUGCAGCCAUGCCGCGUGUAUGAAGAAGGCCUUCGGGUUGUAAAGUACUUUCAGCGGGGGGGAAGGGAGUAAAGUUAAUACCUUUGCUCAUUGACGUUACCCGCAGAAGAAGCACCGGCUAACUCCGUG
This 490-nucleotide ribosomal RNA is filed under the name uncultured bacterium. RNAcentral describes it as "partial 16S ribosomal RNA". It matches the Rfam family "Bacterial small subunit ribosomal RNA", at positions 30 to 507 of the family's 1533-position model. The record is from RNAcentral.